GAGUAAUGCAUCGGAACGUGCCCAAUCGUGGGGGAUAACGCAGCGAAAGCUGUGCUAAUACCGCAUACGAUCUACGGAUGAAAGCGGGGGACUCGCAAGAGCCUCGCGCGAUUGGAGCGGCUGAUAUCAGAUUAGGUAGUUGGUGGGGUAAAAGCCUACCAAGCCUGCGAUCUGUAGCUGGUCUGAGAGGACGACCAGCCACACUGGAACUGAGACACGGUCCAGACUCC
Molecule: ribosomal RNA, 230 nt
Filed under: uncultured bacterium
Lineage: Bacteria
Description: partial 16S ribosomal RNA
Rfam family: Bacterial small subunit ribosomal RNA
Source: RNAcentral